Molecule: non-coding RNA, 23 nt
Filed under: Arabidopsis thaliana (thale cress)
Lineage: Eukaryota; Viridiplantae; Streptophyta; Magnoliopsida; Brassicales; Brassicaceae
Source: RNAcentral
CCAACCAGGGCAAAUGGAUCCUA